This 400-nucleotide ribosomal RNA is filed under the name Bacillus subtilis. Its description in RNAcentral is "bacterial SSU rRNA". It matches the Rfam family "Bacterial small subunit ribosomal RNA", at positions 13 to 400 of the family's 1533-position model. The record is from RNAcentral. Lineage: Bacteria; Bacillati; Bacillota; Bacilli; Caryophanales; Bacillaceae.
UUGAUCCUGGCUCAGGACGAACGCUGGCGGCGUGCCUAAUACAUGCAAGUCGAGCGGACAGAUGGGAGCUUGCUCCCUGAUGUUAGCGGCGGACGGGUGAGUAACACGUGGGUAACCUGCCUGUAAGACUGGGAUAACUCCGGGAAACCGGGGCUAAUACCGGAUGGUUGUUUUGAACCGCAUGGUUCAAACAUAAAAGGUGGCUUCGGCUACCACUUACAGAUGGACCCGCGGCGCAUUAGCUAGUUGGUGAGGUAACGGCUCACCAAGGCAACGAUGCGUAGCCGACCUGAGAGGGUGAUCGGCCACACUGGGACUUGAGACACGGCCCAGACUUCCUACGGGAGGCAGCAGUAGGGAAUCUUCCGCAAUGGACGAAAGUCUGACGGAGCAACGCCGC